RNAcentral lists this ribosomal RNA (357 nucleotides) under uncultured Lactobacillus sp. RNAcentral describes it as "bacterial SSU rRNA". It matches the Rfam family "Bacterial small subunit ribosomal RNA", at positions 182 to 524 of the family's 1533-position model. The record is from RNAcentral. Lineage: Bacteria; Bacillati; Bacillota; Bacilli; Lactobacillales; Lactobacillaceae.
GAUGAUGCCUAUCAACUGUUUUAAAAAGAUGGUUUCUGCUAUCACUCUUGGAUGGGACCUGCGGUGCAUUAGCUAGUUGUAGGGUAAGGCCUACCAAGGCGAUGAUGCAUAGCCGAGUUGAGAGACUGAUCGGCCACAUUGGGACUGAGACACGGCCCAAACUCCUACGGGAGGCAGCAGUAGGGAAUCUUCCACAAUGGACGCAAGUUUGAUGGAGCAACGCCGCGUGAGUGAAGAAGGGUUUCGGCUCGUAAAGCUCUGUUGUUGGUGAAGAAGGACAGGGGUAGUAACUGACCUUUGUUUGACGGUAAUCAAUUAGAAAGUCACGGCUAACUACGUGCCAGCAGCCGCGGUAAU